Molecule: long non-coding RNA, 2189 nt
Organism: Pseudophryne corroboree (corroboree frog)
Lineage: Eukaryota; Metazoa; Chordata; Amphibia; Anura; Myobatrachidae
Exons: 3
Source: RefSeq, a predicted model, not a curated record
GAGCCGCCCUAGGGUCGGGUCACAUGACAUGGUCUUCGCGCCACUUUCGUAAAACCCCCUUUUCCUGCAGCGCCUGCUCCGGGCAUAAGCACGAGGGACCGGGACGCGUGGUGUGGAGAGCCGGGAGAUCCGUGCUGCCCUGUGGAAGGUGACUGGCCAUUGUGUCCCGGGAGCACGGCACCACUGUGGGAUGACUGUGCGGGUCACUGUGUACACAACCCAGGAUUGCUGACGACUAAUCCACAUCCUCUAUUUUGUUUGGGUGCAAAUCGCCUAAUGUAUUUGGCUACAAACUGAAAUUUGUACGGUAAUUGUGCCAAAAAGCUGCCUUGCUUGCUAAAGAUGGAUACACGCCUAUUUGAUCUCCAGCUGAUCGUGUUCAAUGCUCCCAAUCGGCUGAGCCUUCGUUACCCCUUGUGCGGUGGGGGGGUGGUAAGUGGCUCCUCUGGGGAUUGGGAAGCAAACUGUGCAGCACCUCCUGGUCCCAACAGUUAGCUGCAGGAGUGUUAUAAGCUGUUUAUCCGCUAGCGCUCCUGCAUCGGUACUGCAUACACGCCUAUGCAAUCAAUGGCAGUUCUCCCAAUAUCUGGAGAACAGAAAAUGAUUGCAUAGGCGUACACCCAGCUUUAGGGAGUGUAUCCUAACUCACAAAAUGAGUAACACAAAAAAGUUUCCAACCUGGGCAUCAAAUGUACAUUUGGUUCCCAGGCUGGAAACGCUUUUUUUGUUAAUGUAUUUGGCUGCAGUGAUAUGAUUUGAAGAUAGCCAGCCAUCUGAGCAAUAAUGACAAUGGAUGAAAACCUCAUUUUUGUGUAGACCUGGUCUCUUAAACCUGGAACAAGUACAGCCUUAACUCUUGCCCACUAGUAUUAACUUGUACCCCUUUUACACCAAAAUCCUGAGUACGGCCUAGGAAUUUGAACAUGGGUCAAUAACGGGUGGGACCUGGCUUCAGACCCUGUUUACACUGCACUUUGACACAGGUUGGCCCAGUUUAGUGAACCAGGGUCAGCCCUACUUUUCCCUAUGCAUGUCACUAAAAAUGCCUUUUCUGGCUACAUUUUUUAGGGUGAGGGUCAUGCUGAUUUUAUGGCUGCAGUUCAGGGUUUCGGGCUGCAGUUCAGGGUAAGACUCAAUCUGCAGGUCAGGCUGUGGAAGGUUAGGCAGGCUGUAUCUGGUGUUUACCAGCGAUGGCCACAUGUGCUGUCUUUCUCUGCAGGGCACUGACCGAUGACAUGUGCUAGCACUCCAGAAGGUCCAGUCACCACCGUCUUUCUGCGUUACCCCUGUCCAAUAACCCAGGUCAUGUCUGUUUAACCUGCCAUCGGAACCAGGGCCUUUUCAUGUUCAACCCUGGUAGAUUUCCAGGUUGGCUUGCUCCGUUUAUACUGAGCUCUGACCUGGUAAUAACCUGGGUUAUCCAGUUUGUGUGAAAGGGGUAUUAAUCUAUUGCCACAUGGUCUCUAGGGAAUUGAAUGUUUUAUCAAGCAUAUUUGUAGGUUGGAAAAUAGCUUUAAGCAUUUUCAUCUGUACCCAAAAAGAAACCAUUAGUCUGUCCUGAAGGGAACAUUUUUUGUUUUACUUAAAGCCCACAUUUAUGUGGUGACAGUGCUAUAUCUUCACUCUCUGUGGGUGGUGUAAUUUCCCAGUGCAAGUUAUUAAACAGUUAGUCAAAUAUACAAUUGGUGGACAAAAUUUUAUUGAAUGCAUGAUUUGUUCUGCACACCUGUAAUUAUUGGUCAGCUGAUAUGUACUAGUGAAAAUUGCUGAUAAAGUUGGUUAGACUGUGUACCAAAAUCUAAAAUAAGUUAACUUUGAUGUAAAAUCUUUGCUGUGAUGCUACAAUAAAAAACAAAUACCACUCUUCUGGGGCUAUUCAGUUGUCUUUCAGGUGUCAUCUACUACGUGGUGCCAGAUUGUAGUAAUUCUGUUCUGCCGUUUGGGCGUGAUAACUGGUUCUGAUUCUUCUGCUUGUAGAAUCCUGAGGUGGCUAGCAGGAAUGUGUAAAGUGACCUGUUUUGCAAGGACAACUCUAAACAGAAUUCACUGCUAUACAGUCUAUUUGGGCACUUGAAGUAAUGGGCACCUGAUCAGAGCAACAGUUGAAUUGCUCUGUACCUUUUUUGACCGCUAUGCUACUUUUUCUUGUGUUUGAACAUCUGCUACUGUUACUACAGUAUUAAAAAAAU